Molecule: ribosomal RNA, 483 nt
Filed under: uncultured bacterium
Lineage: Bacteria
Description: partial 16S ribosomal RNA
Rfam family: Bacterial small subunit ribosomal RNA
Source: RNAcentral
AUUGAACGCUGGCGGAAUGCUUUACACAUGCAAGUCGAACGGCAGCACGGGGGCAGCCCUGGUGGCGAGUGGCGAACGGGUGAGUAAUACAUCGGAACGUGCCCGGUCGUGGGGGAUAACGUACCGAAAGUUACGCUAAUACCGCAUACGAUCUGAGGUUGAAAGCGGGGGACUUUCGGGCCUCGCGCGAUCGGAGCGGCCGAUGUCAGAUUAGGUAGUUGGUGGGGUAAAGGCCUACCAAGCCGACGAUCUGUAGCUGGUCUGAGAGGACGACCAGCCACACUGGGACUGAGACACGGCCCAGACUCCUACGGGAGGCAGCAGUGGGGAAUUUUGGACAAUGGGCGCAAGCCUGAUCCAGCCAUUCCGCGUGCAGGACGAAGGCCUUCGGGUUGUAAACUGCUUUUGUACGGAACGAAAAGGCUCUGGCUAAUACCUGGGGCUCAUGACGGUACCGUAAGAAUAAGCACCGGCUAACUACGU